RNAcentral lists this ribosomal RNA (5432 nucleotides) under Triticum aestivum (bread wheat). RNAcentral describes it as "partial small subunit ribosomal RNA". The stretch from base 5139 to 5225 matches the Rfam family "MIR1120/MIR1122 microRNA precursor family". Lineage: Eukaryota; Viridiplantae; Streptophyta; Magnoliopsida; Poales; Poaceae. The record is from RNAcentral.
AUCAAAAUUCAAUUCAGUCUGCAAAACAACCUUCCCCAGCUGAGACCAAGAAAGAAGAGACUAUCAUUGCUGCAGCUGAACCGACAUUGCCAACAAUUGUCGGUAAAGACACAGAAGGCAUGAGAGGCACUCCAACCUUGGAUUACGAGCCCACGGGAGAUAAACGUGCUGAUAUUCAGAGUGGUAGAUCUGAUGAAGUAGCCCUUCCAGAACAGAAAUCCAGACCCUCAGAUCGGGAUUCAGCUCGUUCUACGCAAUCAAGAUCCUCUGCUGAGCCUAUGGAUAAAGAGCUUAAUUAUCCAAGUUCUGCGAAACCACUUUCCUCUGCGACACCUGACCAGACAAAGGACUCACAACCUACUAUUGGUCAACAAGCGCCUGCACCAGGAACAUCUGAAUAUCCAUCCUCAGGCGAAGGACAAGUUUACCGCACCAAACCUGAUUUUGAGCUAUCUGAAGGCCCACUCCCUUAUUCACGUAGUGUCAUAGGUGAAAAGACUAUGAGACCUCCAUCUAGCCAAGCACAAAGUUCAGACUCAAAACCUGAUCCCACCCAAAACCGUGGCGAUGACCCUUCCACAAGAUCUUUACCCAAUCAAGUAGCAAAACAACAUGCAGAAACCCAACCACCACCGACUCUCGUGGUUCCAUAUGACUCCGAAUCCACCCAAGAUGUAACUUCUGACACCUUAGGCAAAGCCAAGUCACUAAAACCAUCCUCUAUUGAUCAGCAAGCUACAGGCUCAGCAUCAACUCCUGACACUCAUCUUGGUGGUGCAUCAGGGGAAUUAGCUCGCCCAGGACAGGAAUUACCCUUGAAAGAUCAAGAUUCAGCUAACUCUACACAGAAGUCUCCCUCCAGUGAGCCACAAAAAGAACAGUCCACUGUUGCUGCACCUAAUCAAUCCAAGGCGUCACAAGCAACUAGUGAAGUACUAACCCCCGCUGAUCAAAGCAUAGCUCCAUCAGAACCACUUUCUGUUGUUGAAAGAAAUGAAGAAUUUACUGUUGCUGAAGCUGAAGAAAGCAAAGUGUCUCGACCAGUCAUCGCUCAGCAAGACAUUAAGCAUGUACCAGACAUUUCAGAACCAGUACUUGAUAAUGUUUCGACGGAAGAACAAUAUCAACGUGCUUCUGAGCCACGUGAAGGACCACCUCCUGAUGUGCAUGGCACCUUCGUUGACAGAAAGACAGCUCCCUCUUCUAGUCAAGCACAACGUCCAGAUGCAAAACGUGAUGUGCUACCAUUGAGUGCCGAUGUUGACAAAAAAACAGUCCAACCUUCUAGUCAAGCACAAAUUCUACCAUCGAGUGUUGAUGUUGGUCCUAGCAGUGAUGAACAAUCAACUACAAGACUUCGACGUGAUCAAGAGGCACAGGCGCAGCUACCUGCAGCAACUAAGCAACCACAACCUUUUGAGGCUCCAGUCUACCCUAAAUCUAACCAAGAUGCCCCUAAGUCCUUCAAACUACCCUCUGGUGAUCAAGAUGUCAUGUCACCUAAAGUGGUGCCAGCAUCAGCAUCAGACACUCAAUUUGGUAAAGUAUCCGAUGAAAUAACUGAUGAUGGGCAAAACUCCCCUUUGUCAGCUCAAGAUAUAGCUCGUUCUGCACAAAGGCCUUUCUUUGUUGAGCCAACAAAAGAAGAUGAUAUUGUUGCUGCAUCCGGUCAAACUAACGAGGCACGGCCUAUAAGUGGUCAACGAGGAAUAACUCCUACUCCAGACAAACAAAGAAUUCCUGAUCUGCGUGGUGCUGUUGAUGAAAAGAUGUCACUUCCAUCUAGCCAAGCACAAAACUCAGACAUUAGGCCUGAUUCAGCACCAAUUGGUGGCGAUGUUCAUCGUACUAGUGGCGAUGAACCAGCCACAAGCUCUGUACGUGAUUCACAGGCCCGGCCUCCUGCAGGAACUCAGAAUGUACCUGCUGGUUUCUUGGAAAAGACCAAGUCACCAAGACCACCCUCCACUGAUCAAGAACCUAUGGCUAGUCCAGCACCAGCUCCAGAUGCUCCGCAAGAUCAAGAUUCAAAUCGUUCUUCACCGGUUUCUCCCUCUGUUGUAUCAAGGAAAGAUGUUGCUAAUGCUGAUCAAACCAAUGUAUCACAAGCAGGCCUGCGAGAACCCCCGAGUUCAGAUGCUAAACUUCCUUCAGAGGAAAUACAAGAAUCUAGCCCGGAUGCUUAUCUCACCAAGUCAGAGAAACCACUUCCUAUGAAAGAUCCAGUUCGGCCUCCACAUGAAGCUUCCUUUGAUUUAUUGAGCGGUGAAAAGCCCACUAUGAUCAAAGGUGAUCAGGCCAGCACAAUAUCAGAUGUCAGUCCCUCAGCCAGCGAAGAAGUUGGUCAAUCUGAAAAUAGUGCAGUUAAAGGACCACUCCCUGCGGAGUUAGUAUCAUCAUUUCCUCAGAAGAACCUCGAAAAAACAUCACCUGAAGAAAAAUGGAACCAGCAGCAGCAAACAGACCAGUCCACCACUAGAUCAUCUGAAGAUAACAACAUCGAAGCCAGUGGAACUAGAAACCCUAACACCUCAACAACGUCUAGAGAUAUACAACCUUCACCACUCAAGGAAAGAAUGCAGGCAGUUGAAGGAUCCAGAAACCAACAACAGUCUGACCAAGCUGUCUUUCAAUCAAUACAGGAUAACAGAGCACAAAUUCAAGAAACUAAGGCACGAGACACUGGAUUUGACAAGCCUGAAGUGAUUAGGCCCGAUUCAGCACCAACCAGUGGUGAUGCUCAUCGUACAAGCGGUGAUGGGCCAACUACAAGUUCUUUACGUGAUUCACAGGCACAGUCUUCUGCAGGAACUGAGAAUGUACCUGCUGUUUACUCGAAAAAGGAGUCACCAAGACCACUCUCCAUUGAUCAAGAAGUCAUGACACCUAUGAAUAAGCCAACACCAGCUCCAGAUUCUCUGCAAGAUCAAUAUUCAAAUCAUGCUUCACAGUUUACUCCCUCUGCUAUAUCAAGGAAAAAUGUUGCUAAUGCUGAUAAAACCAAUAUAUCAGAAGCAGGCCUGCAAGGCCCCGCGAGUUCAGAUGCUACACUUUCUUCAGAGCAAAUACAAGAAUCUAGGCCUGAUGAUUAUCUCACCAAGUCAGAGAAAGAACCUCCCAUGAAAGGUACAGAUCCAGUUCAGCCUCCAGAAGUAGCUGCCUUUGAUUUGCCGAGCGAUGGGAAACCUACUAUGAUCAAAGGUGACCAGGUGAAUACAAUAUCAAGUGUCAGUCUCUCAGCCAGCCAGCCAGUUGGUCAGUCUGAAAGUGCAGUUGAAAGACCACUCUCAGAUGAGUUAGUAUCACCAUUUCCUGAAAAACACCUUGAAAAAAGAUCACCUGAAGAAAAAUCGAACCAGCAGCAGCAAACUGACCAGUCCAGCACUAGAUUAACUAAAGAUGAUAGCAUAGAAUCCAGUGGAAUCGCAAGCCCAAAUAUCUUGACAACAUCCGGAGAUAUACAACCUUCUCCACUCAAGCAAAACAAUCAGGCAGCUGAAAGAUCCAGAAAACAACAACAGGCUGACCCUGUCUUUCAAUCAACACAGGACAACAAAAGGCAAACUGAAGAAACUGAGGCACAAGACACUGGAUCUGACCAGCAUGAAGAAAUUAAUCCUGAUUCAGCACCAACCAGUGGUGAUGCUAAUCGUACAAGUGGUGAUGGGCCAGCCACAAGUUCUUUACGUAAUUCUCCUGCAGAAACUCAGAACGCACGUGUUGUUUUCUCGAAAAAGAUCAAGUCACCAAGACCACCCUCCACUAAUCAAGAACUUGUGGCACCUCUGACUAGUCCAGCACCAACUCCAGAUACUCCGCAAGAUAAAGAUUCAACUCGGUCUCCUCAGUUGCCUCCUCCUGUUGAAUCAAGGAGAGAUAUUGCUAACACCGAUCAAACCGAUGUAUCACCAGCAGGCUUGAGAGAGACCGCAAGUUCAGAUGCUAUGCCUCCUUCAGAAAAAAUACAAGAAUCUAGCCCUGAUGCUUAUCUCUCUAAGUCAGAGAAACCAAUUCUUCCUUUGACAGGUACAGAUACAGUUCAGCCUCCAGAUGAAGGUUCUUUUGAUUUGUCAAGCGAUGGGAAGCCCACUAUGAUCAAAGGUGACCAGGUCAACACAAAAUCAAAUGUUAGUCUGUCACCCAGCCAAGCAGAUGGUCAAUCUGAAAAUAGUGCAGUUAAAGGACCACCCUCCGAUGAUUCGGUAUCACCAUUCCUUCAAAAGAACCUCGAAAGGACAUCACCUGAAGAAAAACCGAAGCAGCAGCGCCAAUCCAGUAGUAGAUCAUCUAAAGAUGACAGCAUAGAAGCCAGUGAAACCGCAAGCCCGAACAUCUUAACAACAUCUGGAGAUAUACAACCAUCACCUCUCAACCAACCGUCACCUAUGAAGGAAAACAUUCAGGCAGCUGAGGGAUUCAGAAACCAACAACAGGCUGACCAAGAUGUUUUUCAACCAAGACAGGACAGCAGAAAGCAAAUUGAAGAAACUGAGGCACAAGACACUUCAACUAACUAUCCUGAAGACACGAAUAGAGCAUCUCAAAGGGCUGCUUUGGAACAACAACAGGGAGAAAAUGUCCGGAGGGCUCAGCGGCAGAGCAAUGACACAAACAAUAGCUAUGAACCAACUAAAGAUGCUCCAAGUAUCAUCCAGGCAGACAAUAAACCUGAGAGCAGCUCGAGAACUCCUGAAGAACCCAGGCAACAAGCACAGACGGAAGGCAAAUCUCAAGGUGGCGAAACCAAGGCACCAGCCUCUGAAACCGGGCAGCCUGAAGAAAGCGAUCUCUCACCAAGCAAUAAGGGCAUCACUAGUCCAUCCCAGUCAGAAACCUCCGGCAAACUGGAAGACCAAACCUCCUCUGCUACCCGGAACAGAGGCGCAAACUCCAGCAAAUCGGAUGGGUCAACCGGUGGCACGAAGUCCGCCGGCACGGACGAUAAUGAUCCAUUGUCAUGAAUCACAGCGGCAUGGCUCCUCAACCAACACAUGAUGCUGGAGUGCGCCCCUGAAUAAAUAUCAAGGAGAAGUCUGUUUGGGAACUCACUCACCUCUCUGUCUUGUUUUUUCCUGGCUCUGUUUUGUUCAGAUAAUAAGGCCCGUCCUCUUGUCAUCCUCGAAUGGGGCCAUUGCCAUGUACUCCCUCUGUAAACUAAUAUAAGAGCGUUUAGAUCACUAAAAUAGUAAUCUAAAUGCUCUUAUAUUAGUUUACGGAGGGAGUAUUUCUUUUCUGCUCUUUUUGUUGAAAACUGUCGGCUUGUUUGCUCGUGAAAGUGGCUGUAUUCUGUCUGAUUUUUUGUAAUUCUAGAACUGCUACCGGCAGCGUUGUUAUUUGCAACCAGUUUCUUCCAUUGUGAUCAAUUGCAGUUGCUGGUUUUUAAGUAUAUAUAGAUGUUAAUGUAAGCAAUGAUCCUUGGUCAAACCCAAUUC